RNAcentral lists this non-coding RNA (31 nucleotides) under Homo sapiens (human). The record is from RNAcentral. Lineage: Eukaryota; Metazoa; Chordata; Mammalia; Primates; Hominidae.
UGGAGUGUUCCUUUCUUGAAGGACUGCCAGU